This 621-nucleotide ribosomal RNA is filed under the name uncultured bacterium. RNAcentral describes it as "bacterial SSU rRNA". It matches the Rfam family "Bacterial small subunit ribosomal RNA", at positions 395 to 1017 of the family's 1533-position model. The record is from RNAcentral.
UGCCGCGUGCAGGAAGACUGCCUUAUGGGUUGUAAACUGCUUUUAUACAGGAAGAAACAUCCCGACGUGUCGGGACUUGACGGUACUGUAAGAAUAAGGAUCGGCUAACUCCGUGCCAGCAGCCGCGGUAAUACGGAGGAUCCAAGCGUUAUCCGGAAUCAUUGGGUUUAAAGGGUCCGUAGGCGGGCUUGUAAGUCAGUGGUGAAAGUCUGUGGCUCAACCAUAGAAUUGCCAUUGAUACUGCUAGUCUUGAAUUAUUAUGAAGUGGUUAGAAUAUGUAGUGUAGCGGUGAAAUGCUUAGAUAUUACAUGGAAUACCAAUUGCGAAGGCAGAUCACUAAUAAUAUAUUGACGCUGAGGGACGAAAGCGUGGGUAGCGAACAGGAUUAGAUACCCUGGUAGUCCACGCCGUAAACGAUGGAUACUAGCUGUUGGGCUUCGGCUCAGUGGCUAAGCGAAAGUGAUAAGUAUCCCACCUGGGGAGUACGUUCGCAAGAAUGAAACUCAAAGGAAUUGACGGGGGCCCGCACAAGCGGUGGAGCAUGUGGUUUAAUUCGAUGAUACGCGAGGAACCUUACCAGGGCUUAAAUGUAGUUUGACCGAUUUGGAAACAGAUCUUUCG